RNAcentral lists this ribosomal RNA (253 nucleotides) under uncultured bacterium. RNAcentral's name for it is "partial 16S ribosomal RNA". It matches the Rfam family "Bacterial small subunit ribosomal RNA", at positions 524 to 776 of the family's 1533-position model. The record is from RNAcentral.
UACGAAGGUCCCAAGCGUUAUCCGGAUUUAUUGGGUUUAAAGGGUGCGUAGGCGGCUUAUUAAGUCAGUGGUGAAAGCCCCAAGCUUAACUUGGGAACUGCCAUUGAUACUGAUGAGCUUGAGUAGAUUUGAGGCGGGCGGAAUGUGUCGUGUAGCGGUGAAAUGCUUAGAUAUCGGGAGGAACACCUGUGGCGAAAGCGGCAUACUGGACCAUAACUGACGCUGAGGCGCGAAAGCUAGGGGAGCAAACAGG